RNAcentral lists this ribosomal RNA (237 nucleotides) under uncultured bacterium. RNAcentral describes it as "partial 16S ribosomal RNA". It matches the Rfam family "Bacterial small subunit ribosomal RNA", at positions 125 to 354 of the family's 1533-position model. The record is from RNAcentral.
CCGUAGCCCAAGAGACUGGGAUAACACCUGGAAACAGAUGCUGAUACCGGAUAACAACACUAGACGCAUGUCUAGAGUUUAAAAGAUGGUUCUGCUAUCACUCUUGGAUGGACCUGCGGUGCAUUAGCUAGUUGGUAAGGUAACGGCUUACCAAGGCAAUGAUGCAUAGCCGAGUUGAGAGACUGAUCGGCCACAUUGGGACUGAGACACGGCCCAAACUCCUACGGAAGGCAGCAG